This 346-nucleotide unclassified non-coding RNA is filed under the name soil metagenome. Its description in RNAcentral is "partial contains 5.8S ribosomal RNA, internal transcribed spacer 2, and large subunit ribosomal RNA". The stretch from base 1 to 120 matches the Rfam family "5.8S ribosomal RNA", at positions 35 to 154 of the family's 154-position model. The record is from RNAcentral.
GAUGAAGAACGUAGCGAAAUGCGAUAAUUAAUGUGAAUUGCAGAAUUCAGUGAAUCAUCGAGUCUUUGAACGCACAUUGCGCCCCCUGGUAUUCCGGGGGGCAUGCCUGUCCGAGCGUCAUUGCUGCCCUCAAGCACGGCUUGUGUGUUGGGCCCCGUCCUCCGAUCCCGGGGGACGGGCCCGAAAGGCAGCGGCGGCACCGCGUCCGGUCCUCGAGCGUAUGGGGCUUUGUCACCCGCUCUGUAGGCCCGGCCGGCGCUUGCCGAUCAACCCAAAUUUUUAUCCAGGUUGACCUCGGAUCAGGUAGGGAUACCCGCUGAACUUAAGCAUAUCAAUAAGCGGAGGA